This is a long non-coding RNA of Pan troglodytes (chimpanzee), 1846 nucleotides long. The record is from Ensembl. NCBI's taxonomy places the organism in Eukaryota, Metazoa, Chordata, Mammalia, Primates, Hominidae.
GUAAGAUACUAAUAAGUGGUGAAGCAACUGAACUGUGAGAUAGGAUUUGGGGUGUACCUGUGCAGAGUGAGCUAGAAUUUGGGGACAUUGGGGUCUUUUUGGUAUCACCACAUACUUGGCUCUGGACAUGAGGGGGUUAAUGAAUCUGUCCUGAGUAACCCAUUCAGCGCAAAUUUUCCAUUCAGUUUCUGAUUCUGAGCAGAGUCUCUGAGGAUGUUUGGGAUGAAGGAGCUUGUGCCUUCUGGCCAAAAUUUCCCACUCUAGUACUGUUCCUUUUGCUCAUUUCACUUGGCUGAUGUUUGCCUGAAAACUUCCUCCAACGACGCACUCUGUGAGAACUUCCUAGAUGAGGACUUGCUGCUCCAGAGGCUCUGAUAUGCUCUCCUGCAGUGGGGUACACAAGGCUGUUUUUCGGACACUGAGCUUUCUGAGCAUGAUUGAACAUUCAGCUCAAUCUAGUUCAAGGUCUCAGGCUGAAGGACACAGCUUCUACAUGGUGCGUGCUGUUCUCCUGGUGGCUGAAGGAGCAAGUGGAAACAUGCUAUGCCUCUUAAAGACUCUGAUUGUGAUGGAAAAGAAUAAUUUCCUGCACCGUGAAUCCAACUGUGCCAAGCCUUGGCUCCCGCGAACCAAUCCUGAGCGCGACCCGGGCACUGGGACGGCGACUCCGCCAAAGCUGGACGAGGCAGCCGGACCCGUCUGCGCUCGAGCAUGGAGACGGAGCGCCUGGGAGGGCACGUCCGGGGCGCUGGAGACGCCAGGCCCGAGUAGCUCCUCCAUGGAGCCUGCCCAGAGCUGUCCCUUCUCGCAGGAUUCGCCCCAAGUCCUGUGCGGCUGCUGAGAGCGCUCCUUGCUCUGUAAAGUGGAUGUCAGGUGGAUCUAUGUUUCUGAAGGAACAAAGACUCAAAGAAGGCACCGCCAAGGAAGUUUGAGACGCGGGAGAAUGCAGGCUGCGUGCUGGUACGUGCUUUUCCUCCUGCAGCCCACCGUCUACUUGGUAAGUCUUGGAGGGUUCGGGGCUUUCGCAUUCUUACCCCGGCCGGGAGGCAAGGAAACUGGGAACACGCGGGAGAAGGGUUACGCCGCCAGUUCAGCGAGAGCAGCUUCCUAGCAGCUGUGUUGGAGCAACUUUGGCAAGCUGGUCUCUGGAUUCCUGCGGAUUUUCCGGGGUUCCCACCCCAUUUUCUGCUCCAAUCCCCCAGUCUCCUGCGCGUGAUUCUUGAAAGAGGCUAGGGCGCCCCAGACACCCUAAACCCAAGGAGGUAGUGAGAUGGGGUGCUUUAUGUGAUAGAGGGCCAACGAGAAGAAGUGGAAGGCAGGAACUCUCAGUAGCUCAUGCACAGAGUUUAAACGAAGGGAAGUGGGGGUGUAGUUGGGUGGUGGAAAGAACAAAUCUGCCCAGGUCUGUGAGUUUAAAAGUGAAUCUACCCACCCACUUCCCCGAUUUGGAGAUGAGACACAUAAAGAAGCGCAGUUAACUUUCUUUGACUUGUAAGGGUUCCGAUAGGAUAAGUUUAACUAUCAGGGGUACUGCAAGCAAUCGGAGUUAGGUCAGAGAUACUCCAGCAAACAUGUCCACCUUCCUCUCGUCUCGACCUCCCCUUUUCAUCAAAUAACUAAAUCCCAUCUCCAGUGACUAGUCCAUUAUUAGGGAAUGGUAGGCCUUGUCGCCAGGGAGAGUAUUCUAAACAAAGCCGCGGUCCUUGUCCUUCAGUAGCAGAGUUUUCCGGGGGGCUGGACUUUGUACGCUGCUGGAACUCGGUUCCUGGUUGAAGAGCUUUGUUGUGGUGAAUUGGAAGCUGUUUGUGCCAUGUUGAGACAAGGAGAAUGAGAUAUUUCAGGUCUG